GAUUUUCCAUAAAAAUGUAUCAUACAAUGUAUACGAUCACCAUUUGACUUUAAACUUCAGUAUCAGUAGGUCUGGCAAUAACGUUAUAACAUGGCAAAAGUAAUGCUUAUUUUGAUAAUUGUAUUAGUCUGUGUUCAACAAGUAACAAGCGGAAUAGCUGUUAACAAGAGAAAUGCAGAUAAGGACUGUCCUCAGGGAAUCAUAGAAGAUUGUGCAGAUAAGGGAUGUAGUUAUAUACCUAACGGAAUAGACUCAUGUGUUUGUUAUUGUCCGGAUAAACAGCAAAAAGGAAGAAAAAAGUGAAUAUUUUGUCACAUAUGCAGACUAUCUGAAUUAUCUAACAUAAUCCCGUUGAUGUCAAGUACACGUGAUGGUUGCAUAUAAUAUAUUAAAUAGUUUUCAUUUC
Long non-coding RNA from Mytilus californianus (California mussel), 406 nucleotides. RefSeq lists it as uncharacterized. The record is from RefSeq and is a predicted model, not a curated record. The transcript has 3 exons. NCBI's taxonomy places the organism in Eukaryota, Metazoa, Mollusca, Bivalvia, Mytilida, Mytilidae.